CUACGGGUUGCAGCAGUGGGGAAUAUUGCACAAUGGGGGGAACCCUGAUGCAGCAACGCCGCGUGGAGGAUGACACAUUUCGGUGCGUAAACUCCUUUUAUAUAAGAAGAUAAUGACGGUAUUAUAUGAAUAAGCACCGGCUAACUCCGUGCCAGCAGCCGCGGUAAUACGGGGGGUGCAAGCGUUACUCGGAAUCACUGGGCGUAAAGAGCAUGUAGGCGGGUAGAAAAGUUGGGAGUGAAAUCCUAUGGCUUAACCAUAGAACUGCUUCCAAAACUCUUUACCUAGAAUAUGGGAGAGGUAGAUGGAAUUUCUGGUGUAGGGGUAAAAUCCGUAGAGAUCAGAAGGAAUACCGAUUGCGAAGGCGAUCUACUGGAACAUUAUUGACGCUCAGAUGCGAAAGCGUGGGGAGCAAACAGGAUUAGAUACCCCCGUAGUC
This 439-nucleotide ribosomal RNA is filed under the name uncultured bacterium. RNAcentral describes it as "partial 16S ribosomal RNA". It matches the Rfam family "Bacterial small subunit ribosomal RNA", at positions 339 to 795 of the family's 1533-position model. The record is from RNAcentral.